CCUCUAUGAGGUUGUAAUUAUUAGUACUAAACCAAUUGCUUCGGCAAUGUGAUGAAUCAUAGUAAUCGAACGAAUCGCAGAAUUCUGCGAUAAAUCAUUCAAGUUUCUGCCCUAUCAGCUUUGGAUGGUAGUGUAUUGGACUACCAUGGCAAUCACGGGUAACGGAGAAUUAGGGUUCGAUUCCGGAGAGGGAGCCUGAGAAACGGCUACCACAUCUACGGAAGGCAGCAGGCGCGAAAAUUGCCCAAUCCUGAUUCAGGGAGGCAGUGACAAGAAAUAACAACUUUCAACUUUGUUGAAAAGUGUAAUGAGGAUAAUUUACAAACCUUACCGAAAGCAAUUGGAGGGCAAGUCUGGUGCCAGCAGCCGCGGUAAUUCCAGCUCCAAAAGCGUAUAUUAAAGUUGUUGCAGUUAAAAAGCUCGUAGUUGAAGUUCUGGCUGUAUUGGGCCUCUGCACUCGAUGCGGAGGAACCAGCAGUCAUCCGCUUGCAAAUACAUGUCCUU
Molecule: ribosomal RNA, 504 nt
Filed under: uncultured eukaryote
Lineage: Eukaryota
Description: SSU rRNA
Rfam family: Eukaryotic small subunit ribosomal RNA
Source: RNAcentral